AUCAGCAAUGACCUCGCGCGGUUGGAUGGACCGAUGUUCGAUUAGCUAGUUGGUGGGGUAAUGGCUCACCAAGGCGACGAUCGAUAGCUGGUCUGAGAGGAUGAUCAGCCACACUGGGACUGAGACACGGCCCAGACUCCUACGGGAGGCAGCAGUGGGGAAUAUUGGACAAUGGGCGCAAGCCUGAUCCAGCAAUGCCGCGUGUGUGAAGAAGGCCUUCGGGUUGUAAAGCACUUUUAUCAGGAGCGAAAUACCACGGGUUAAUACCCUAUGGGGCUGACGGUACCUGAGGAAUAAGCACCGGCUAACUUCGUGCCAGCAGCCGCGGUAAUACGAAGGGUGCAAGCGUUAAUCGGAAUUACUGGGCGUAAAGCGUGCGUAGGCGGUUAUUUAAGUCUGCUGUGAAAUCCCCGGGCUCAACCUGGGAAUGGCAGUGGAUACUGGAUAGCUAGAGUGUGAUAGAGGAUGGUGGAAUUCCCGGUGUAGCGGUGAAAUGCGUAGAGAUCGGGAGGAACAUCAGUGGCGAAGGCGGCCAUCU
Molecule: ribosomal RNA, 538 nt
Filed under: Dyella sp.
Lineage: Bacteria; Pseudomonadati; Pseudomonadota; Gammaproteobacteria; Lysobacterales; Rhodanobacteraceae
Description: bacterial SSU rRNA
Rfam family: Bacterial small subunit ribosomal RNA
Source: RNAcentral